GCGACACUAGCUCAGUUGGUAGAGUGCAACCUUGCCAAGGUUGAGGUCACGAGUUCGAACCUCGUGUGUCGCUCCA
RNAcentral lists this transfer RNA (76 nucleotides) under Vibrio parahaemolyticus. Its description in RNAcentral is "tRNA-Gly". It matches the Rfam family "tRNA". Rfam says of the family: Transfer RNA (tRNA) molecules are approximately 80 nucleotides in length. Their secondary structure includes four short double-helical elements and three loops (D, anti-codon, and T loops). Further hydrogen bonds mediate the characteristic L-shaped molecular structure. tRNAs have two regions of fundamental functional importance: the anti-codon, which is responsible for specific mRNA codon recognition, and the 3' end, to which the tRNAs corresponding amino acid is attached (by aminoacyl-tRNA synthetases). tRNAs cope with the degeneracy of the genetic code in two manners: having more than one tRNA (with a specific anti-codon) for a particular amino acid; and 'wobble' base-pairing, i.e. permitting non-standard base-pairing at the 3rd anti-codon position. The record is from RNAcentral. RNAcentral also lists the same sequence under 3 other names. Lineage: Bacteria; Pseudomonadati; Pseudomonadota; Gammaproteobacteria; Vibrionales; Vibrionaceae.